GCAGUCGAACGCUUCUUUCUCCCGAGUGCUUGCACUCAAUUGGAAAGAGGAGUGGCGGACGGGUGAGUAACACGUGGGUAACCUACCCAUCAGAGGGGGAUAACACUUGGAAACAGGUGCUAAUACCGCAUAACAGUUUAUGCCGCAUGGCAUAAGAGUGAAAGGCGCUUUCGGGUGUCGCUGAUGGAUGGACCCGCGGUGCAUUAGCUAGUUGGUGAGGUAACGGCUCACCAAGGCCACGAUGCAUAGCCGACCUGAGAGGGUGAUCGGCCACACUGGGACUGAGACACGGCCCAGACUCCUACGGGAGGCAGCAGUAGGGAAUCUUCGGCAAUGGACGAAAGUCUGACCGAGCAACGCCGCGUGAGUGAAGAAGGUUUUCGGAUCGUAAAACUCUGUUGUUAGAGAAGAACAAGGACGUUAGUAACUGAACGUCCCCUGACGGUAUCUAACCAGAAAGCCACGGCUAACUACGUGCCAGCAGCCGCGGUAAUACGUAGGUGGCAAGCGUUGUCCGGAUUUAUUGGGCGUAAAGCGAGCGCAGGCGGUUUCUUAAGUCUGAUGUGAAAGCCCCCGGCUCAACCGGGGAGGGUCAUUGGAAACUGGGAGACUUGAGUGCAGAAGAGGAGAGUGGAAUUCCAUGUGUAGCGGUGAAAUGCGUAGAUAUAUGGAGGAACACCAGUGGCGAAGGCGGCUCUCUGGUCUGUAACUGACGCUGAGGCUCGAAAGCGUGGGGAGCAACAGGAUAGAUACCCUGGUA
Molecule: ribosomal RNA, 760 nt
Filed under: uncultured bacterium
Lineage: Bacteria
Description: bacterial SSU rRNA
Rfam family: Bacterial small subunit ribosomal RNA
Source: RNAcentral